Non-coding RNA from Pelobates cultripes (western spadefoot toad), 215 nucleotides. Lineage: Eukaryota; Metazoa; Chordata; Amphibia; Anura; Pelobatidae. The record is from the annotation of a GenBank genome assembly.
GCUGACCAUCUAAUUCUCCCCUGUUUGGGCAUGUUUGCCCCUUUGGGCGGUUCUGCUUACGGGAUUCACAACAGUGUCCCACCCUUUUACCCCAUCCAUGGAAACCCUGCUUCACUGGACACUGCUGUUAGGGAUUAUGGAUUUACUUGAAAGAUGAAAGUGAGAGAUUAGCACAGGUUAUGUGUUUUCUAAAAGACAUAUAUCCUGUAAGUUUU